UACGUAGGGUGCGAGCGUUAAUCGGAUUUACUGGGCGUAAAGCGAGCGCAGGUGGUUUAAUAAGUCUGAUGUAAAAGGCAGUGGCUCAACCAUUGUGUGCAUUGGAAACUGUUAGACUUGAGUGCAGUAGAGGAGAGUGGAAUUCCAUGUGUAGCGGUGAAAUGCGUAGAUAUAUGGAGGAACACCGGUGGCGAAAGCGACUCUCUGGUCUGUAACUGACGCUGAGGAGCGAAAGCGUGGGGAGCGAACAGG
Molecule: ribosomal RNA, 252 nt
Filed under: uncultured microorganism
Description: partial 16S ribosomal RNA
Rfam family: Bacterial small subunit ribosomal RNA
Source: RNAcentral